Molecule: ribosomal RNA, 820 nt
Filed under: uncultured Streptococcaceae bacterium
Lineage: Bacteria; Bacillati; Bacillota; Bacilli; Lactobacillales; Streptococcaceae
Description: bacterial SSU rRNA
Rfam family: Bacterial small subunit ribosomal RNA
Source: RNAcentral
GAGUGAACCCCUCGUUGGUACCUUCCUCUUAUCGGGGAUCACUUAUUGGAAACGGUACGGUUAUGCCGGCUAUUCUAAUGUCGAUAUCGCAUGAUAUUGACGAUUGGUAAUGGUCAUAAUGCAUCCACUUAAGAGAAUGGACCUUGCGUUGGUAUUAGCUAUUGUGAGGUACGGCUCACCAAGGUCAACGAUACAUAGCCGACCUGUAGUAGGGUGAUCGGCCACACUGGGACUGAGACACGGUCCCAGACUCCUACGGGAGGCAGCAGUAGGGAAUCUUCGGCCAAUGGGGCAACCCUGACCGAGCUACGCCGCGUGAGUGAAGAAGGUUUUCGGAUCGUAAAGCUCUGUUGUAAGAGAAGAACGAGUGUGAGAGUGGUAAAGUUCACACUGUGACGGUAACUUACCAGAAAGGGACGGCUAACUACGUGCCAGCAGCCGCGGUAAUACGUAGGUCCCGAGCGUUAUCCGGAUUUAUUGGGCGUAAAGCGAGCGCAGGCGGUUAGAUAAGUCUGAAGGUAAAGGCUGUGGCUUAACCAUAGUACGCUUUGGAAACUGUUUAACUUGAGUGCAGAAGGGGAGAGUGGAAUUCCAUGUGUAGCGGUGAAAUGCGUAGAUAUAUGGAGGAACACCGGUGGCGAAAGCGGCUCUCUGGUCUGUAACUGACGCUGAGGCUCGAAAGCGUGGGGAGCAAACAGGAUUAGAUACCCUGGUAGUCCACGCCGUAAACGAUGAGUGCUAGGUGCUUGGGUCCUUUCCGGGACUCAGUGCCGCAGCUAACGCAUUAAGCACUCCGCCAUGGGGAGUACGACCAGCAAGG